GCUGCCCGUGCAGGGGCGGAGCUUCGGGCACAGGAGGCGGAGUCACAGUGCCGGGCACGGGGGGAGGAGCUUCAGCAGCUGCGAGAGGCCGUGGAGGAGGCCCGGCAGUGCCGGCGCCAGGCGGAGCAGGAGCGGGACCAAGUGGCCGCUCAGGUGGGACGUGGCCCCCGGCACAGUCCCCCCCCCGCUGACCCCCGGGGGCUGCAGGCGGCGCUGGAGGAGCUGCGGGAGCACAACCGGGGGCUGCGGGACCACCUGGGACAGCGGCUGGGACAGGUGCAGGAGCUGCGUGAGGCGCUG
Corapipo altera (White-ruffed manakin) is the source of this 300-nucleotide long non-coding RNA. RefSeq lists it as uncharacterized. The record is from RefSeq and is a predicted model, not a curated record. The transcript is spliced from 4 exons. Lineage: Eukaryota; Metazoa; Chordata; Aves; Passeriformes; Pipridae.